CCAGGCGCUCGCUCCCUCGUGCCCUCGAUGCACUUGCCCACCGCCGCUCUCCUCUGCCCCAACCCCAACCCCGCCGCCGCCUCAAUCCCACCGCCGCCGGCCUCCUCCUCCUCUAGCACCUCCGCUCCAGCCCCUCACCUUCUCAGCCUGGAUCCGCACGACAAGGUGUGGGGCUAUGGGAGAGAAGGCUCCAUAUCGCGCGACAAGGUGAGGGGGUGCCCAGAUCCGCAGCGGCACCACCGUGCCCUCGUCCACCUGGCCCUCGAGGUCGGCCAUGGAGGUCCGGCCCGACCAAUGGAUGGAUGGGGAUGAAACCCUAGCCCAACACCCACCCAUGGAUGGAUGGGGAUGGGGCGACGACGGCGGUGGCGGCGGCGGCCUUCUCUCGGUGCUUGCUGAUGUGGUGGACAUCGACAUCGGUGACGGGUUGCAGCACGUAGACAUCAAAGGCUGCGGGUGUGACGGAGGAGCACCAUGGCGGGCGUGCAGACCAUGGCUCACUAUGGAAGGCCCUUCCCUUCCCUCUCUCUGUUCGGGCCAUGCUCAGGCAGUCUUUUCUCUUCUCUUCCCGCAAAAAAAGUCUUUUCUCUUCAUGAUUUGAACAUGUUGGAGGCCAUUAUUUCUCCACUGCCGGAGUCUAGCCUCCCUCCGUGGGAUGCCAUGGAGAUGAAACUCCCCUCGACGAAAGAAUUCAAGGGCAUGUGGGAGAGAGAGGAGGUCCAUGGAGAAGAAGCUCUGCUCCAACCCUCCCUGCCUCCUAAUACAAGAUGUCUUUUUUUGUGUGUGCUUGUAUUGCAGCAGCCAUGUGCGUAUCAAAAAAAGGGUCCAGUUUGCAGCAGUCACAUGAUAUGGACAUGUUUUUUCAUCACAAUUGGAUUUUUGGAUUUACUAGGCUAAUUGGUGGUGGUUGCUGUUGUUGUUGUUUUAGCAGCAGCAGCAGCAGGCGGAGUGACGAUGUUGGCUAUGUGCAGGCCAUGGAGGCUUUGAUGAGCACGAGGGGAAGGCCGCUGCUUCAACCCCGUUAAGCUUACGUGUGGGAUUUGCUUCGGAAGUUGUCCACGUGAGUCAAUGGGUGCUGCUUCAUGUGGGCAUCCUUUCUGUGGUGUAUGUUGGAGAGGUUACACACCUGAUGAUGUUUACGGCUAGGCACAAGAACAAGCAGAGCCGAGGAAGUGCGGGCACGCGCUGCUGGCCUUGGCAGGUGUAGGAACCGUGCGAGGAAGGUUCAGCGCGCUGCACAAGUCGGGCCACGCCCGGAGCGCCGUGCCAACGCAUGUGUGCGUGGUCGGUGGGUUAGCCAAGAUCUGCAUUCUGCGACUUCAUCUUCACCAUGGACACAAGCAAGGACUGAUUGGUGGUUCUUGGUAGCGGUGCCGAGCAUCGGCGGAUCGAAGUGGUCGAGGUCGCGGUUAAUCCACCAGGACGAGACAUGCAUCUUGGAGCUAGCGCAGAGGGGGGAAGAAGCAGGUUGGUAUGGCCCGGAACUUUUGCGCAAAGAAAACACACACAGGGCAGGAACAUGACUACUCUUCCCCUUCCAAGUUUUUGAUCGAUCGAACUCUUCGGUGACCAGAAAAUGAGAAAAAGGCAGGCCGUCGAUGUACAGACCACAGGUGCUCGGACGCACGGCCGGCAUCAUGGUCGUCAUAACUCAUAACCCAUGAGGUGGUGACCAAGCAAGAAAGGAAGGAACUUUCGCGCAAAGAAAACACACAUAGGGCAGGAACAUGACUACUCUCGCCCUUCCAUGUUUCUGAUCGAUCGAACUCUUCGGUGACCAAAAAAUGAGAAAAGGGCAGGUCGUCGAUGUACAGACCACAGGUGCUCGGACGCACGGCCGGCAUCAUGGUGGUCAUAGCUCAUAACCCAUGAGGGGGUGACGAAGCAAGAAAGGAAGAACUCCCGGGCGACGAGCCCAAUGGCCUUGUACUUCGCCCAGACAAGCACCAUUGGGUCGACAUUGCAGCCAGCGGCUGCGGCCAUGCAUUCGGUAAUUCCAUGGCAUGAUGCAUAUAAAUUGGAUCUGUAGAUUCAUGAAGCUCCAAGCGAGCAAGAAGUUUCAGUCCACCUUUACUCAUGGCCUCCCCUUCUCGUCUGGUGGACGGCCUUGGCAAUCUGAACAAGCUUUACGCGACUGGCACUCUUGUUGAUCCCAUAUGAGAGUCAUUAAGCCAUUUUGUGCGCAAGGUUGAGAUAGUUGGGGCCUGUAACUGUGUUUUGAUCCCAUGAAUGUCAUUUUGCACCGAAGGUUUGUAACCAUUGGGGAAUGUUUUCUUGCUCUGAUGUAUCAAGUUGCCAUGGGGGUGAUCUAGAGGUCUCUUCCUUGUCCAAAGUAUGUCGUACCUAAUCAAGACAUGUUCAUUUAAUUUACCCGUCAUGUAAAUGACACAACAUGAUUCACUUGUGUAUAGUGUAAAAAUAUAUUUAUUUAUGGCACACAGGUGUUCAAAUUAUAGUUGUGAAACGUGUAUAGUGUAAAAAUAUAAUUAUUAAGGGAUGUGACGUCACA
Molecule: non-coding RNA, 2509 nt
Organism: Aegilops tauschii subsp. strangulata
Lineage: Eukaryota; Viridiplantae; Streptophyta; Magnoliopsida; Poales; Poaceae
Source: RefSeq, a predicted model, not a curated record